UCUCCACUAAUGGCCCCCCACCCCCUACAAGCCAUCUGGACAAGAAGUCACUUGACUCCUUGAGGGACGUGGCUACGCCUGACCUCAAAUCAGGCAAACCUAGUGAUGUCAUCUGUAUUGAGGACUAGACCAGCUCUGUAACACUGACCUCAGGUCAGAAACUCCCAGGGAUGGAAUCUCAAUGGAUGACUACUGACCAACUCUUACGCCACUCUCUCCUUGUUCUCUCGCUCCUUCCUAACUCCAGAUCUAAAAGUCAAGCUCUCUUCUCUCUACGGAUAAGGCAAUUAACUUUUUAAUGCAGACCUGCAGAUUAAGAAGGAAAAUGGAGCAGCUUCUUUGAAAACAGCUUCUUUCGCUCUGCACUACAGUGGAAGACUCGAGCAAGUUGGUGGCACUGAGUUCCUGACGCGCUUGAUUGGGGCUCAUUCUGAUUCUGGAAUGUGUGUUUUAUUUGCGUCAGCCUCAAUUCUUUUCAUCUGCAUACACUCAGUUGCUUUUACUCAUCUGCCUAUUUACUGUACACUGUGACUGUGCUCCCCCGGAGCUUGUCCCCUGUGAAGAGUGGAGUCGUCGAGGAUGUCUACAGUCAUAGCUUGAUAAGAGAUUGCUUUUUGAAGGCCAGUAUUGUUAUUUUAAAUAAACUUGUGUUUUGUCAUUCAUGUUGUAACCUGUGAAGAAAAUAUUGAUUUGAAAGAAUCAAGAACUAUUAACAUGUAUGCAGUAGCUGGACACAGGCUUUUGGAGAAUCCUCUAAAGACUGCCACCUGCUGGUAAUCUCAAGAAAGUAAUUUCUGCUAAACCUGCAGGGAGACUUGACUGCAGUACCUGGGAACGUUGGCCUCUUGUACUGUAUAUACUGAGAGACUGCUGUUUAUUUUACCUCACAUAUGUCUAAUGAUAGUGAACACAUGUAAACAUACAUGGAUGAAAUCAGAAGCCUGGCUUAGUGUUGUACAUGAAAAUCAAGUGAGAGAAACUUUGGGAGUGGCAAGAAUGAUUUUUAAUGCAUUUUAGAGAAGACUGAGUAUUUCUGUGUAUGGUACAAUAUUUGUGAUUCUUUCUAUAUUUGAAUGUUAGUAGUGGCUGUAGAGCUUAACCCUGGGGCCAUGACCGGUGGGACUUCAUUGUAAACAGGGACCCAUCUGGUACAUCCACAUACAGGGCUUCAGUGUUACCGAGACCAGAGUCCUGAAUGGAGGGUGGAGUUUUAUCCCUCUUAUAUCCCAGGGACUUUCCCAGUUCCCUUUUAAUUGUUAGGACUAAAUAAGAACACAUGUGCUUAUGGUGCAAUGUCACCUCAAGUUUAACAUUUGAUGCAGACUGCGCUUUUGUUUGCUUCUCUUUUUUUGAGGUUAAAUCUAAUGUUUUUGGUCACUUGGUGCCAUUAAAGGAUAUGAUCCAGAAUGAUUUGUUCUUGUUGCAGUGCAUUUCCUCCGCAGAGGUUAAGACUGUAAAUUGUGGUGUUACAGUCAAAGCUUUUCAUUUGAAGUAAUAUUCUCUGUGCAUCAGCAUUCAAGGACCAUCAUUGCUUUUAGAUGAUGUCGUCACUUUCAGCCUCCUUAGUAACAGUGUACGUGGUCAUUUAUUGCUUUACCUGGUGAUAAGGCUACUACAUGUUUACUCAUUCCAUCUACUGUUUUGUGCUAAAGUGACUGCACCUGGUAAAACAGUCUUUUUAUAAAUUCACACGUAUUUAAUUUUCUAUUAACACACUGCAAGAAUAUUAGGACUAAAUGUACAAAUCUUUAUUGACAAAUCUAUCUUUUUUUUCUUUUUCCAAUGAUAUGUUUGUAUUAUGAUUAUUAUUAUGCCAUUGCCAAGGCACUUAUUUGAAAAUGCUGAAAGGAUAAUUGCUAUUGACUAAUCUAAAGUGAAGAAAUAGUGAUUUAUGGUGAGUGUAUAUCCUUACUCUGUUUUUUGCCAGUUCAAAUGGUUGUCCUUAGGUGCUCUCUUCUGAUUCCCUCUUCAUUUUUCCAGCUUGUAUCGCACUCAUCGUUUCUCGAAAUGCUUUGACUUAAAAGUCAAAUUCAAAACAUUACGAUUUGGAAAGCAUCAUGAGACUAAUCUUGAGUGCACUACGCUUUUUUAGUGUGAAUCGAUGCUGUUUCCGUUACCGUUUUUGUUCAUGCCAGCAACUACUUGACCAUGACAUGGAUGGUUGACAGACAGAACCUCAGAAACAUGUAAAUACUUGUUGAAAUUGAAAGAUUUUUCAGAGAUAAGUCCAUGUCAUAUAGAUUUUUGUAUUAAACUGAAAAAGAUGAAUGUUUACUGGAUGGUGUUGCCAUAGAACUGCUAUGUGCACCGUAUGUGCUCAUCAAUCAAAAACUUGUCCUUUUCCUCUGGAACUGUGACCAUGAGAUGACGUCGAAAAACACAAUACUUCACUGAAAUGCAAUCAAACUGAAGUCAGUAUGAAUGUAAUGUCUGUUAAAAAGGCUUCAGUCUAAUAUUACCAAUAUGUUAACAAUGUAUGCACAUGCUUAUUAAUGUGGCUUCAAAAGCUACCAAAAGACCCUGUUAAAAGGCACCUUUGUUGCAGUGAAUGCACAGCAUGUGAAGCGUUUGAUGGUUCACUUUUGGGAGGUGGUGGUAUAGCAGGCAUUUACAGACAAUGAGCGCCAAGCAGUGUUAUGGUACUGAUAUUUGUGCUGUAUAGCAGUUGAAUGAAAAAGUGAAUUGUCAUCUUUUUAUUUGUAUUCUGUGUAUUUGUUCAAUGUGUUUUAAUAAAUCUUCU
Long non-coding RNA from Astatotilapia calliptera (eastern happy), 2740 nucleotides. The record is from Ensembl. Lineage: Eukaryota; Metazoa; Chordata; Actinopteri; Cichliformes; Cichlidae.